AAAUGCGAUAAGUAAUGUGAAUUGCAGAAUUCAGUGAAUCAUCGAAUCUUUGAACGCACCUUGCGCUCCUUGGUAUUCCUUGGAGCAUGCCUGUUUGAGUAUCAUGAAAUCUUCAAAGUAAAUCUUUUGUUAACUCAAUUGGUUUCUACUUUGGUAUUGGAGGUCUUUGCAGCUUCACACCUGCUCCUCUUUGUUCAUUAGCUGGAUCUCAGUGUUAUGCUUGGUUCCACUCGGCGUGAUAAGUUAUCUAUCGCUGAGGACACUGUAAAAGGUGGCCAAGGUAAAUGCAGAUGAACCGCUUCUAAUAGUCCAUUGACUUGGACAAUACUUUUAUGAUCUGAUCUCAAAUCAGGUAGGACUACCCGCUGAACUUAAAC
RNAcentral lists this unclassified non-coding RNA (377 nucleotides) under plant metagenome. Its description in RNAcentral is "partial contains 5.8S ribosomal RNA, internal transcribed spacer 2, and large subunit ribosomal RNA". The stretch from base 1 to 104 matches the Rfam family "5.8S ribosomal RNA", at positions 51 to 154 of the family's 154-position model. The record is from RNAcentral.